RNAcentral lists this long non-coding RNA (672 nucleotides) under Ananas comosus (pineapple). Its description in RNAcentral is "long non-coding RNA (ACOM_LNC022060)". The record is from RNAcentral. Lineage: Eukaryota; Viridiplantae; Streptophyta; Magnoliopsida; Poales; Bromeliaceae.
UGUUCAGUUAUAAAAUACUAAUUUUCAGAUUAAAUUAAUUAGAUAUAAGUUUUUAAAUUUUACUUUUUGUGAGACUAAUUUGUGCUAAUUGAAAAUAAAAUUAAUUAAGUUGAUGUUGAGCUGUUGGAUUUUAGUAUAACCUCGUAAAGAAAAAAAAAUCGGCUAGUUUGAUUAAAAUUACACUCUUUCAUUAAUUCGGUAGAUGAACUGUCAGUUCAAACGGUUUAGAAUUAUUUUUUGACUUAUCCGGUUUAGAGGGUUGAAUCGAACCGAUUUACAGGCAGGAUAACGUUUGGACGUUUAAGUUAUACGUGCAUUACUCUUUUCUCUCGUAAUGCGUGGGUUACUAUACUUACCUGCAUCUAUUCGUUGUAAUGUGCGGAUUACUAUAAUAGUUUUAUAAUAUUUUGGAACGUGACAGACUUGCGCUGCAUUGGCUUCCAAAUCGUAUUUAAUAAUUUUAGGCCGUGUCUGAAUUGUUUACGGGAUAGUCAUUUCUUCCCAGCAACUUGUUUGGCUUUACUUUUCAGAAUCAAUGACUAUAUCGACUGUCAUAUCUGUCAUUUGAGAGAAAUUUCUAAAAUAUAUGUAAAUUUUACACUUCUCGCUCAUUUAAUGACCCACAAUUUUUCACUAAUUUUAUUAUUAUUUAUAAUUAUUAAAAAAUCUAAA